RNAcentral lists this long non-coding RNA (1079 nucleotides) under Equus asinus (donkey). Its description in RNAcentral is "lncRNA (ENSEASG00005038580.1)". The record is from RNAcentral. Lineage: Eukaryota; Metazoa; Chordata; Mammalia; Perissodactyla; Equidae.
UGGUGAAGAAAGGUUUAUUACUUGCAUAGGCAGGGGAGAAUUCUGGGCAUCUCUCGCAAGCAGUGUCUCCCCAAACAAGGGUUUGGGAUUCCCUUUAUUGUGAGAUCAUAGUACGGUUCAUGAAUAUUCAGUUACGGAAAAGGCAGGAGCUCACGUUUGUUGCCUAACAGUCAUGUUCCUUUAAGUCUCAAGGGUAGCAUGUACACACGCUACUACAUAUAUAGCAUGAUCUAGAAACGGCUGCUUGGUCCCUCCCAGAGGAGGAGAAUUUAACAUGUUGACGAGAUUAUAAUAGGGACAUUUUACUUCAGAGCAACUUGAGGGGGCUAGAACUGGCUUCAGCUGGCCUGCUUGUGGGAAUCUUCGGUGGUUAGGCUCUUCCUGAAACUUUCUGUCUGCCAACACUCAACAGAUAACGUUAGUCUUUAUCAGAUCCUCAGUACACUUUUCUUGGUCUAGUUCCCUGGUCACAGUAUCUGUGCCUGUGUACCUUUUUGGCAAAACUUUGUCAGACUCCAGUUAUCAAUAAAGAUCAACAUGGAGAGAGACUAAUUAUUGCAUACGGUGAGGUGACCUUCAGUUGUGUGUUACUAAACAAGGAUCUCAGUUCCAAGAGCCUUCUCCCAACACCACCUUUCAAUGCAAAUAUCCCUGCAGAGGAAGCGUUCUGUCUGGCAUUCUGCUCAGACACCUAAACUCAGGGGCUGUCACUCAGACACCAGAGGGUGAGUCUUCUGAACUGUCCAAUCAGAAGCGGCGCCGGGGCAGGUGGGUGGGGCGCAGCUCACCAACCGCCCGGAAGUUGCUGCUCCGGUCGCGCUGGGGACCGCGUCUCCCCGCCAUUAAAGGGUCUAAGUGGCUCUGCCGCGUCUUCUGUCAUGUUGUGACCUGUAGCGACAGCAGUGUCAUAGGAAGGACUCGGGGGACCCAGGAGCCCUAGGAAUGGUUUGAAAAGAUGUGGCACCAAACCCAACAGCAAGAAGAAAAGGAAACAACAAAAAUUAGAGCAAAAUUAAUGAAAUGAGAAAUAGAAAAGCCACAGAGAAGAUCAAUGAAACCAAAAGUGGAUUUAUGGAGAG